RNAcentral lists this long non-coding RNA (1989 nucleotides) under Anas platyrhynchos platyrhynchos (common mallard). Its description in RNAcentral is "lncRNA (ENSAPLG00000030926.1)". The record is from RNAcentral. Lineage: Eukaryota; Metazoa; Chordata; Aves; Anseriformes; Anatidae.
UGCUUCCCUGGAGACUUUCUCCUGGACCACAACCACAUAUGCAUUUCAAAGGCUUCUAAUCUCAACCGAGCACCAGAAGAAGAGGCUAACAGCAAGCUGGGGAGUAGAAUGAUGCUGAAAUUUAACCCGCUGCUCCAGAGCCCAAGCCUGAAUGAGCCUCCCUAGCUGUUGGUCCAGAUGUGUAUUGCAAAGAGGUUGGUAACCAGAGAACUCUGUUAUCUCGGUGUGGAGAUGCCCAGUGUUGCUCACUACAGCAUGCAGUGACACUAGCAUCUGCCCGUUGCUUCAGCUAGCUGGAGUGGAUGAAGUGUAACCACUGGACUUCUCUGACUGACCUGGUGUGAUGGGUUGCAUAAGACUGAGAUGGGAAAAAUUGCUUCCAAAAGCUUGGUACCUUUGUACUGUGUUCUGCUGCAUCCCUACUGGUUGCAACAGCCUCUUGCUUGUAGUAUUUGUCUUUUCACGUGAAAUGGGAAUCCUUCUGUUUAGCCCAGAACUAGGCUUGAUCUUCAGCAGAGAGAACUUUGUUAACCCUGCUUGAAUCCCCUCUGGAGCUAUUCUGCUGCAGAAAUCAGAAGAAAUGUUUUGCAGCUGUUAAAGGAUCGGUUAUAUAUGUGGCCAGGCAGCAUGCUCAGGCUGCUGGAGAAGAGCAAGGUGCUGCUUAAGGCAGAAGGAGAAGAGUCCCUGUGACUGGGAAAGGAGCAGUUGUGGGCAGAACAGCAUGGGGAUGGGCCCUGAUGAGUCUCUCAGACUACAAAGGAAUCUGGAAGGAUUUGAUAGCUGAGUCUUUUCUUGUCGCAAGAACAAAGGUACUGAAGUCAUGUCAUCUCCCGAAAGCCACCGGGAGCAGAGAUGGGCAGGGCGAGCAAGCCCAGGCUGGGGCUCUGCUGUGCGGCUGCUGGAAGUGGGGUCUCCAAGGAAAAAGGGGUUCUGCUGUGCUCCUGGAAAAAGAGGCUGCCAGCAGAGGGCCCCCAAAGAUGGAUAUGUAGAUCCUACAGAGGUCCUGAGAGAAGCUGCCUCCUGAUGCUUGUCAGAGCAUGCUGAGCCCCUUUUUCUGAAAGGAGAAACUGAGGCAGGGGGAGAAGAUGGUGAGUGUCAGAGCAGAAUGUGUCCUGUGAUGCAGAAGUGAAAUAUUCUCUUGCUCUUCGCAAGCAAUUGAUUUGGUUUCAUUUCCUCCUCGCAGACUCUUUUUCGAGGGCUUGGGGAAGCUUUUUGGUUUUCUCCUUUUGCACGACCAAAGGACACCGAGGUCCCACAGCAAGACAUUUAGAGCCUAAAUGUCCAAAAGCCAGUGGGGAUGUUUCAGGUGCUCAGCUCAUUGCCCCAGAACCGUCAGGGGAGAGAUGGAGACAGAGGUCACCAUGCAGCAGCCACCUCCUCCCGGCUAUAUCUGUGGGGCUGCAAGUAUGGGUGGUGGAGCAGGAGGAUCUGCUGACUUCCUCCAUCCUCAGCCAGGAUUUGGGGCUCCUCAGUACCUCACAGUGCCCUCAGUAAUGCCAGGAUGUGGCCCUUAGCCUGAUACCCAAAAUAUAGGCACUUAACCCUGCUGCAGCUUGGAUGCCUCCGUGUCCUGUGUUAACACCGACUUGCUUUUUGCUCUUAGAGGUGAAGGCGUCCCUGAACUACGUGUGUUUGUCUGUUCAUACGUCCCAAGCUUUCUAGACAGCUCCGAUCAAAAGCAGUUUAAUGCACUUCAGCCUUCGCGAGUGGAAAUUUCCUCCACCUACUUCCAGGUCCUCAGGGUUUCCAAAUGUCAAGUCGUCAACUGCAAAUGUUAUCUGAAAAUGCUUAGCAAGUUGCAGUCCGUUGGCAUCAGUCAGUCACCAAAGACAACCGGCUUGUUUUCUUGCUCUUCUCUUUAAUAUUCCCUCCCAGCAAGGCUCUGGAGACGUCAUUAGGAGCAGUGAGCUCCUCGGAGCCGGGCUAACAACCGCUGAGUAGGUUGUUUCUGCGUAAAUAAUUUGCUUCUUGGUUCCUCUCCGUGCCCUG